Lemur catta (Ring-tailed lemur) is the source of this 1746-nucleotide long non-coding RNA. RefSeq lists it as uncharacterized. The transcript is spliced from 12 exons. NCBI's taxonomy places the organism in Eukaryota, Metazoa, Chordata, Mammalia, Primates, Lemuridae. The record is from RefSeq and is a predicted model, not a curated record.
GGGGCUGGCGGACCCCGCGGCGACGCGCCCUGCUGCUGCUCGCGGCCGCGCUAGGGGGCGGCUUCUGCAGGACGGCGGACGCCCCGGAGGAGGAGGGGGAGCCGGCAGCUCACCUAAGCAACCGCGUGGCCGGGGGCGGGCGGGGCGGCCUGCGCGUGCCGGGCCUGGACACCCCCGUGCGCCCUGCGCCCGCCCUGCCGCACAGCUGCCUUGGCCCCGGGGACAGCCUCCUGGAGCGGCUCAGCUUUUGAACAUGUCAAAUUACACGGAGACAUUUUCAACUUUGCUAUGGUUUGAGGACAUCAAUGCAGAAACAGAACUGAAAGAGUAUAAUGAGUGGAGUUGCCAUGAAAAUGAAUGGUUAUUUACUGAUUUGAGAAAUCGCAGGUUUACCUGAAAGUAGACCUUCUCUGUAUGCAGAUUCAUGAAGAUGUAACUCCUAAACUUAAUCCAGAAUUUGAGCCAGCAUAUAACUUGGACCCUGUGGAUGUGGAGCACACACACAGUAGGACCGUAAGCAGGUGGUGCCACUUUGGCCUUGAACAUGCCAUCCGCUUAAGCGUACAAGUGUUGUUUCCAGAAGAAAUCGUUUUACAGUCUCACCAGGUGACAGGGAAUUGGAACCAUGCACAAGAUGCGAAAAAUGACGGACUGCCCACCACCAAGGGAUAAAUCUGGCAGAAGACGUGCAGCACUGUCUCCUGGAAACUACAAAUUGUGGAUGGGAAAUUAACAGAAGACCUACAGAAACAGAGAGAUCACCCAGCAUCUUUAUGACAGUAUAGAAUUCUACAUUCAGUGACCUCCUGUGCUUGCUGAGAUUGCGGAGCCUCGUCGUUGCCAUUUUCCCACCUGAUCACAUGACAUGCCCAGAGUGUGUGCGAACCUCAUAAGACAAACUGAAAAGUCCUACUCUGCAGAUAAUGAGUAAAAGUGUUGUCUGAAGACACAGAUACGUCAAGACAGGAGGCCGACCGAAUUCCGCCUUGACCCUGAAAUUUGUGAUGAUUUGGUCAGGCUGCUGCGGGUCCACAGUCCUGGCCUUUCUGAGGGGCACCAGGGCUGCCCCAGUAGGAGGGAAACCACGUCCCCAGGAUGAGAUUCGUGAACUAGAUCAUCAGGAAACAAACAAGCAUGUCUGUGUGAGUUCAGCACAUGGAACUUUAUCAUGAGCUGAGUCUUCCCAGCCUACAAGCUGACCAUGUGAAUGUGAUGACCCAGCCCCAGCGAAGGACUGACUUCAGCUGCGUGAGAGACCCUGGGGGAGAGCACCUCAGGACUGCAGUCAGUUUAUGAGCAAAAUAGGACGAAGAAGCUGGAAUUUAUUUGGAGAAUGUUCACCUUGACCACCACAUGUUCCCUGAGCACCCGGAGGCUCCUGCAGAGACGCACAAGAUGACCGGCAGGUCCCGCCGACAGCUGUGAUUCGCGGCCCAGGUCUAGCACACGGACGCAGUUAGGACCCUCAGUGGGAUCAGCAAGCGGAGGGCAGGCAGAGUCUGGAGCAACCCACGUGCAGGCUUCCCGUCGCUCCGUCCCCCUGCGAGGGUCACACGGACGCCCUUCGCAGCGGCGGCGACCCCGCCGGGCGGCGCAGCGUCCCCACACACCUUCCUUCCUUCCGAGCCGCUUCCUCGCGGGGUGAAGCGCCGCCCACCGCGCUCUGAGGGGCCGCGCUGCGUGUCGCGCUCUCCCCGCGCCCCAGUCCGGCUGGUGAGGUCGGCCCGAGCGUCUGCGGCGACGGAG